CCCAUUGCAUCCGCGCUGGCGGCUCCCUAUAUUCCGCGUGCCGGCAACGGCUAUGGCGAUAAAUUGCCAUCGUAAUAAACCCAUCGGACCCGGGGGCAGUGCCCGGCGCCUCCACCAAUCCCUGUCGCUGGCAGGGCCAUGGGGGCGAAACAGGCUCGACGAGGGCGUAAAGGGUGUGUUUUCGCUCGGCAUGGUACCGCCGAUAUCGGACCAAACUUAUAGUUGCCAACGACAACUAUGCUGGGCGUCGUCUCCUCGCUGCUUAAGCGAGUCGACACACCCGAUCUAAAGCCCUGCCGUUCUAGCAGGCGGUAGGCGGGGUUCGCAGGCACCUGGCAACAGAAGCCUGCACU
This 353-nucleotide transfer-messenger RNA is filed under the name Devosia enhydra. RNAcentral describes it as "Prosthecomicrobium enhydrum Alphaproteobacteria transfer-messenger RNA". It matches the Rfam family "Alphaproteobacteria transfer-messenger RNA". From Rfam's summary of the family: Bacterial tmRNA, also known as 10Sa RNA or SsrA, is named for its dual tRNA and mRNA-like properties. Its role is to liberate the mRNA from a stalled ribosome. To accomplish this part of the tmRNA is used as a reading frame that ends in a translation stop signal. Lineage: Bacteria; Pseudomonadati; Pseudomonadota; Alphaproteobacteria; Hyphomicrobiales; Devosiaceae. The record is from Rfam by way of RNAcentral.